Molecule: long non-coding RNA, 17854 nt
Filed under: Elaeis guineensis (African oil palm)
Lineage: Eukaryota; Viridiplantae; Streptophyta; Magnoliopsida; Arecales; Arecaceae
Description: long non-coding RNA (EGUI_LNC021181)
Source: RNAcentral
AUGAAAUAACAUCAGGAAAAUCUUAUGUUUUAAUCUCUAACUAAUAAGAACUAAAAAGUAACACUUGAGAGAUUGAAAAAUUUCAUGAUAAACAAGAUAGUUUGGGCAUGAUAAGGAAUUAGCUAUGUACAAUUCCAAGUAUGACAUGCAGUAUAAGAAAGAUCUCUUGCCCCUUAAUUCAUCUUGGCUACCUUUCUGAUCAAUCAACCAGGUAAAAAUUCAGAAGACAAAAAGCAAUUUUACUGUAUAAACUAUGCAUUUAAUCUAUGUCAACAGUUAAUAUGAAAUGAUAUAUUAUGCUUAUCAUGUUGAAGAAGCAAACAGACUAAAAGCAAAAGAAGAGGAAGUGAGCAAGUCGAGGUGAGCUAGAACAGUAAACGUAAACAACAAUGUAAUCUUAUAGUCUCGAGGUUUGCCAUCCUACUCUGCUGUUGGUUCCUAAUCAAAUCCAAUUUCUCCAAAAUGCAAAGAUUUCUAAAUCCACUUUUCUACCCUUCAUCUUGCAUUGGAGAUGAGACAGCCCCUGCAGGAGAAAUUAACAUAUUUCGACAGAUGCCUGAACCUUGGAGUCUAACAGCACGCUAUGCUCAAGUACAACUCAUAUGCUAUCCAGUGCCCAAAAUUCUGUUCCAUAUAAAUCAUGCUAAUUUACAGCAAAAGUAGUUUGCUUCGGAGAUCUCUAAAUCACUCUAUUCCUAAUACACAUUCUCAAUUCCUCCCAUGUGUGACAGAAAAUUUAAUCAUGUACUCUGACAAGUUUAAGAAAAAGAGGCAUAUAUAAAUUUUAAUUGUCAUCUAAACCUUAAUCCUAUACACCGUAAAACUGUAAGAAUAACCAUUAAUUAUUUAAAUUUCAAACUAUUCUUUUUUUGAAAAAUAUUGCCAAUAUUUCUUUGUUUUAAACAAUAGACCGUCGACUUCAUUAAUCCCCUUCAAUGGCAUUCACUCCAAUUUAACCGGCAACAUCUGUCAAAGCCUAUCAUUGACAAACGUCUCUCUUACAGCUUCAAUCCAAGUUACUUACAGCUCUUCACCUUUGUCUUUUCCGACAUGCUUACAACAUUGAGCUGGCAAUGAAAUCUCGCGUUAUUGAUGCUGUACAUUCCCAUACGAACUCAGCUAGUCCCACUUAAACCUCAGUUAAUAAGAGCCAUAAUUUUGUUCUCCCUAAAACCACAUCUUUCCAUAUUACUACACAUUCACAUCAAAUAUUCUCAUAUCAAUAAUGCCUGUGUUUGGACCAUUCUAUCAUCCGACACUCCAUCUGUGUAUUAUAGUUUGGGACUUAUUUUUGCCUUCUAAUAUUUCCUCCCAAGUUUCCAAGGCACCAGAUGCUCAGGAAAACCACAAUGCACAUCUCCACUAAAUCAACCCAACUUUGUUUCUGUCAGAUAUUUCAUGUCUCAUUUUUCUAUAUAUUAGAGUAUCCAAUGGAAUAAAUACAAUUCCAAUAUGGUAUCUUUAGGCAAACAAUUUUUAUUGUAGCUCAAUUUUCAUUUUUCUGCCAAAAUAAUGUAGGAUAUUAGUUCUGUCAGUAUUUAGACCUUUGUCCUUUGCUCUCCUUUCACAACAUUAAUUUACAUUCAAUGCUAGCAUUCUUUCAUUAUACAUCAUCUCACCUCAUACAUUCAACAAUAUUCACCUAUGAAAAGCAUAUAAAGGUAUGUGCUGUGCAUCAAUUUCCAAUAAAAAACUUAUUUUGCAGAUAGCUAUAAUGUUUAAAGCUCUCAUUUAAUCUUCCGUACAUGAUACACGCCUUUAACAUUUUCAUUCUAAAUCUUUUUAUUACACUUUUCACCUUAAGCCCACAAGUUAGACUUUCUAAUAAUUUCCAAGUCAAUAAAUCUUUGCAGAAUUUCUGUUAAAUUUUUCAUUGGUCAUAUAAGGUAGCUUCCAUAGUUCACCAUCUCAACAUAAACCAAAAUUAUUUCGAUAGAUUAUUGACUUAUUGUCAUCUUUUCUCUAGGAAAUUAGAACCUAUAUAGAAAUCCAAACAAGAAUAUACAAAAAUAUCUCAUAAUCCUAGCCAAAAUAACAUGUAGUGUAUCCAAUACAUAUAGCCAAACAAGGAAAUGGGUACAUAAACAAGGCAAACAUACAACAAGAAAAAUUACAACAAUAAAGGAACUAAAAGGGUGAUAAUUGUUAUAUCAUUGUGGUAAAAAAGAAGUGGCAAUAACAUUGAAAUGCCAAAGUCUAUCCUUAUCAAACCUGCAAAAUCCAAGAAACUGAUUCAAUUCCUUCCAAGUACCCCACCACAUUAUGUGCUAAGAUUUGGCAACAAGACAAGCUCACCAUGUAACAUUGUUGCAAAGGGUAUCCAAGAUAACAUGCACCUUUUUAUGUUUAAGUCUCCCAAAUGGUUGGAAUAUGUUUCCUGUGUGCUUUCUAUUUUUGGCUGUAAAAUAAUUACAUUACUUUCAUAAUUACAUCACUUAUCUAAGCAAGUUUUCCUCAAAAUUAAAAUAAUAGAAAAUUAAUUCACUUAAACCAUGUUAAAAUUAUCAAUUUCCUUGCAAUCCUCAAAUAGUUCAAUAACUCAUAUAUGGUAUCAUGAUCGCAAAAAUACACCAUUGAAGGCCUAAUUAUAGCCACUCAGCCUUGUUUUGUCAAACUGAACAUUUUACAGGUUUUGAAGUUUGUCUUGCUUCAUUAUCUAGAAUAAAUAAUUCAUUAAAAGAUCCAAAGCUUUUCUUCAAUUUAUUCAUUAUUCUCAGCAAGAUGAUAUGCAAUUUGAUCCCAUCAAUCCUCUAAAAGUUUUAGGUAUUUCACCCUGGUCAAGAUUUUAAAAUGGGUUAUCCAUUUCCUUCACAAUUUAUAGUUAUUCCAUACUGCUCCUACAACCCUCCAUGAACAUUUCGCAACCAAAUCUUGUCCAUUCUCCAGCCACUUUACUCAUAUUCCAACUCUUAGGAUUAGCUUGCGCAUGUUGCAUCAUCUAAGUGGGCAUAAUACUUGCCCACAACUAAGUAUUCAACUAAGAUAUUUGGUAAUUGCUCCACAACAUCCAAAAUUCAUUUUGAUGUUUUCAAUAAGAAAGCACAAGAAAUUUAAAUAAUCAUGAGAGCUGACUUACUGAAAUGUAGCAUCUUUUCCCUCAUUUCUUCUACUAGUUCAUAUAUUCAGAUUACAUGGUCUUCUAGCAAAUCAGAACAAGCAACAUUGUUCUCCUAUCCAGAUAAUCAUUAUGCAUAAGCAAAUACCAGAUUAGAAUAUCAUAGUAUCAUAGAGGAAAAGUGUUCUGGUUUCUUAAAGAAAAGGAAGCUUCCAAGUUGAGAACCCUGGAUUCUUUUCAUGAAGCUGUUGCACUCAUCAUCUGAAUCUAGAAGUUCGCUGAACUGGCUUCUUGAUCCACAUGUUAUUUUGGUAGACUGUAUCAAAAGAAAUGGUAGUACUUGGCGGAGAAAAUCUGGAAUGCUAUUCAGAAUCUUGUCAGUUCCUAGUUGACAAUUGAUGCAUAAUUUUGUUUAAUAAAAACAGUUUACAAACCACAUUUAUGAUGAGGGUGUAUUUUUUGAACAUUUUAUUUUUCCCUACCAUCUUGAUACUAGGAAGGAGGUUCUCCUAGGAUUUGCUUAUUGAUCAUUUUAUCUCAACCUCAUUUAAAUUACAGGUAAAAAUAUCUGUAUACAUCAUCAUCAACUUCCUCUACUAGACUAUAUCUCUCAAGGCUCAUAUGCUGUUGUUUUAAACCAAAUGAUGAAAUGAGCUCAAGAAAAGAGUCUUUUUGAAUUGCAUUUACAGCCAAAAUUAUAGGUUAGAAAGACACAAGUGCAUGAAUGUAAGAGAAAUAUUCUCACAAACAUCAGAACCACAUUAUUUUGUGACAAGAUAUGUGAAGUAGGACAAUACCAGUUAGGGCUGCCUACGUGUGAUAGUGGGCCUUGAGACAAAGGAAUAGUGAUGCAAAGGACUUUGUUGCUGGCUGUCCAAAUACCUAGAUUAAGACAAUAAAUAGGAAACUUAAUUUACUCCACUUGUGGAGCACUAGAUGUGAAAGGAUGAACCAAACAUGAUCUAGAGCUCUUAAACAAUCAAAUAUAGGUUAUAAUCAUAAUAGAUCAAAUAAUGCACAGAUUAUAUAUGCAAAAGGGUUUUGAAUUUUUUGAAUUAAAGAAAGUAAGUAAUAUCAAAACCCUAAUGAUACACACACACACACACACACAUCUGAGAAAGAACUUAGCACAUAAAGCAAUUAGACUAGUGUAGCAAAUAAAUAUAAAUAAAACAAUGGUAUAACAAGCAGCAAACAGCAAAGGGAACAAGAGGCAAAGAGAACGAAACUAUUAGAGAAAGAAGAGUGGAUAAUAAAGAUAUGGGAGAAGUACGAAAUAGAGAACCGGCCGAACUAGCCUUUCUUUCCUUGAACCAUCAUACAAGAUUCAAGGAACUAUCCCGAAUUGCACAAUUUGGGACAUACCAAAUUGAAUCAGUCGGUUAUCGAGAUGGAAUGGUCUACUGACUCGGUUUGGGCUUUAAAACCCACGCUUGUCUCGCUUGCUUCACUUGCUCGCCUCGGGUAGGGUUUCAUCAUUGCAACCACUGCCAAUGACAACUCGGUACAUGUCCUCUUCUCUCUCAGUUUCUCUCUCGCCCUCUCCGCUCUCGCUUGCCUCAGCUAGGAUUUUGUCAUCACCACCAUCGCCAACAACGACAACUACAACCAGGUACACAUCCCCNCCCUCCCUCCCUCCUCUCUCUCUCUCUCNCUCUNNNNNNNNNNNNNNNNNNNNACGACACUCCCCUCCCCCUCCCCUCCUCUCUCUCUCUCUCUCGCAUGUCUCUCUCCCCCCCUCCCUCUCCUUUACCCUCUCUCCCCCUCUCCCCUCUCCCCUCUUGGUUCAGUAUAGCUCAGAUCAGUAUGGUACAUACUAGCAUCGUACCAAACUAGUCACCAACUAAUACGAUACCCGAUAAAAGUUUGGCAAACCUUGCAAAAUACAACACCUUGCAAUAGACCUUUUUGGACUCCCUAGAAAGUUCCUACUUGGGGUCAUCUAGGAUUCUUACAAAUAUACAAAGAAAUCAUCAACCAACUCUUUUGACUCUUAGUAGGACCUUUUAAAGAUCAUGAUUACUAUAGUAUAUACUAUUCAUGCUACAAGGACAUGAACACAAAAUCCAAGUUACUUUCAUAUCUAAAUACAAUUAUUGAAAGAAAUUAAAUACAUAAAUUAGAUCUAGAUGAUUUCUAAACUAAAUAAAAUAGAGAAACUUGUACUGUUGCACUUUUGUUGACUACUCUAUGAACCCAGAGGAUACUCCUGCAUCAACAUGCAUUUUGCAUAAUGAAAUUUCACCAUCAUAAGUAACCCGUUUCUUAAUAUUCUAGAUGCAAAAGUAAACAGACAUGCUCGUCUGUUCAUCACUUUCCAUUUAAAAUUUUUUAUCACUUCAAAAUUCACUAUUGUGAAUUAAAAAUGAAAUAUUAUUGUUUAUAAGGGGAAAAAAAAACACUCAGCUAUUUUCAAACUCAGAAAAUCAAUAGAAAAUUAUACAACAAAGACAUUGAGGCUAGACAUGGAACCAUCAGUGAUGGACAUUCAAACUUUUUUACAGAAUGUACUUAAGAUAGACACAAGAGCGCUACCUGAUCAACUUAUUUGGGGCCUGAGAUGCUUGAUACUUGUCUUCAUUGCCGCUUCUCCCAUCACCUCCCUUUCCGCCUAGCAACCAAACACACCCCAUGAAACCCAAAUACAAGAAAGGUGACGAUUUGAUCAUAUUCUGAAGGAACGCCCAACUAGAGAUUUCACUCAGGAUCGUGAGUCUCUGACUAGCAACCAAACACAACCGAUGGAACCCAGAUAGAUGGAACCCAGAUACAGGGAAGGUAACAUCUUGAUUCCAUGCUGAAGGAACCCCCAACUAGAGACUUCACUCAGGAUAGCGAGACAAGCAAUCAAGACCCUCGGUUCGGCUACGUACAAUCCUAUGGAAAACCUCCCUCACCUGGCGUUCCAGGGGGUCCAGGCCUCCGUCCAUGGACUGGCAAACCCGGCCCAGCUCCUCCACCCCCUGUCUUACCUCUGCCUCCUUCUCCUCCAUCACUGGAAACUGGAUUGAAUCCAUUAAUUCCGUCAGGUGGUGAGCGCACUUCUCCAUCCGGUGGAUUUCCUUCAAUAGCCCGCUCGAAUUCUUCCGUUCCUUUUUCUUGGACUCCUCAACAAUCCGUUCGUGAAGCGACAGGAUGGGGGCCGCCCACGGGUAGCUCCGGGGGAUGGAGAGGUGGAUUCCAAGGCCACGGUCCUGGCAGGGGAUUGCGGCAACAAGCGCCCACAUAACGAAGAGGAGCACCGAGCUCAUGGUGAAGACAGCUACCACAAGGCCGCCGGUGGCCACGACCUCGUGGCCGCGGGGGGCGGCAAGGUUGUUCCCGAUCGCCUGGAGCUGGCGGGCGGCGGACCAUGACCGGGAGACGCUCCAGGAAAGGGAGCGGAAGUGGCCACCGGAGGAGCGGCGGUAGUGAUGGGGGUCGCGGCUAGAGGAGCCGCUGCUGCGGCCGAAGGAACGGUUGCGGUGGGAGAGGACGGAGCCGGUGGCGUCCUUCUCGUCGAGCAUGAGAAGGGUGAGGUCGGUGAGGGCCUUCUGUGCCCGCCGGAGCUGGCCCUCUCCGAGGGCACCGCGCCGCUGCUUCCGUGGGUCGGCGAGCGCGACGAGAACGAUCUCCAAAUGCUUCCGCCACUGACGGAGCUGCUCAACCCCGUCGCGGAUCGCGUUGCAGACGUCGAGAGCCUUGACGCCGCGCUCGAAGAAGUCAGCGAUCAUCCGAUCGAGCGGCGGCCGACCGAAGGCGGCGCGGUGGUUGAAGAGGACCACGCGGAACUCCUCCUGGCACACGAGGAAGGUAUCCAAAAGCUUCCGGACCCAGGCAAGGGACAGAAGGUCAUCACCGGCGGAGGCGGAGAGGUCGUGGAAUAGGGCGGCGAUGCGGCGCUGGAAGGCGUCCAGAUCCUGGUCCAGGCCGGCGUCGUGGUGGUGGCCGGCGUCCAUAGCGUGAAUCUGCUCCCGCCGUGUGCUCAAGAUCGAACGGCCAAUCGACGAGAACGGCGUCGAUGAUCCCUGGUAUUCGGUGGCGGGCAUUGUCACAUCCCACGAACCCUAGCUCUCUCUCUCUCUCUCCGCCCCCGCCGAACCACCACCGACGGAACCCUAGAAUUCGCCGGAACCACACCAAUAAGGCACCCGAAAACCCUCGCACACAAUCGAAUUCGAAGAAUAAACAGGAGGAACCUGGAAUUGGAUGGUUGGCGGAUGUAGAACCCCGAGACGGAGCUGGGAUUUUAUGCCUCUCGGCCGACUCCUCGCCCCUCGGACAAAAAUAGGCUAAUGCUGGGUAAAUUUAAUUAUUUUAAUAAUUUUAUCAAGAAAAAAAAAAUACACCGUGGGAGUGACCGCGGAAGGCGGGACGACGGUCCGCGGGACGACAGGCGGUCACUCCCACGGUCGAGACGCGAUCGGCACGCGAAGGGACACGUGGCGGAAGAGCGAUGUAGACCGGUGAGGGCCGGGCUGGGUCGGGUCGGCGCACGCGUGAGGUUGAGAAGCCGUAAUCCCGGGGACGGGGCCGUCUGACAUGUACGGUUCACCUGCCAGGGUGAAAGAGAACCGGGUCGGGUCUCUCGUGCGCGGAAUGUUUCUAGAAGCACCACGGGAUUUCACGACGGCAGCGCCCCCGGUCGCCCCAACCGGCAGGCUGGCGCCGUGGUUUAAAAUAUCGCCGUUAUGUUACAGCUAUCUUUCCCCAUGAUCUUUAAUGCCAUCACGUUUUGUCACGGGGAUAUGCUUCGGGGUUUGUGGUAUAAAAAUAUCGGUUCUGUUGUCGCGAUAUGCCAUCGAUUUUGCCAGCAUGGUUGUAUCCUGGAGAACUGCAAAAAAAAUAUAUUUAAUUCAUCUAAUAAUAUUAAUUUUGUUAACGUUUUAUCAUAAAAAUUGUAUUUUACCUAACUCUGAUUUUGGAAGUUAAAGGUGAACGUCUUCUAGUUGAAAUUUUUAAUUAAAAAUCAUCUAUUUAAUUGACUAGAAAAAUUAUACAUUUUUGAAGAAGAUAGGUUUCAAGAUGACGGCUAAGUCUUAGCUGUUAUGUGUAAACCACUUGGUACUCGUGAGAUAUCACAAAUUUUUUAUAUUUUUUAUUUAUUACAGUAAUUACGGUUUGAUGUUCUUCUUUUCAUUAUUCAUUUUGGCCAGACAGGAAGAAUUUCGAUUAGUUUUUGUUGAUCAAGCUGUCUUUUAUAGAGCUUAUGCUUAUCACAAAGUAAUCAUCUCGGAAAGAAAAUUAGCUAUUUUUGCUGGAUAAUGUGACCUUCAUCCAUGUUCCAACAAUAGUUUCUAAAUUUUAACCUUCAUUUCAGUUUAAAAAUUGUAGAUUAUCCUAUAAACAGUGACUCAACGAUACUGUUUGAUAGUUCACGUGCGACACCCAGUAAUAUAUUUACCAAUCUUUUGUCUUUUUUUUUGGUAAAAAAUUCACCGAUCUUGUUUAAAAACAGGAAAACAGCAGCGUGUCCAGAACACCGGUCGCAGAACGGUGGCGAGUGCAUUUUAGCGAGAAAACUUUUGGCUUCCGCGGUUUGGAAGAAUUGAAAGGGUCUACGGUACCGUGUCCGCGAGCAUCAAGUCCACCCCAGGACCGGUGAACCACAUGCAACCCUGGACCACCAGAAAGGACCAUGAUAAGAUGGCCGGGGAGUGGGGCACACGUUACCCCGGAGAUGGAGAUGACGUCAGGCAUCACGAUGCUAAGUGGGGUCCACGAGAUGACAGGUGACGGCCCAUCCACGUCAGCAUAAAGGAAUAAAGUAAUAAUAUGAGCGGAUUACCCGGGAGCACGUGGGACGGGAUCUCCAAUGGGAACGGGAACGGGUGCACCUGAUGUUUGUGUCCAGUGUAAUUUGCGGCGAUGUUUGAAAUAUAAUCUAAUAUGUAGAACGGGCAACAUCAAUCCCGUUUAACUGAAAUGAGGUAAAUAAUAAAAAUAAAAAACAAGAUAAUAAAGGUAAAGUAGGGCGCUCCAAGGUGUACAUACAUAAAUGUACACACAUAUAUACAUAAAUACAUACAAUAAAUAAUAAUAAAAUGAUUAAAGGGCUAUCUAUAUUUUUUUAUGAAACAUGCUGUAGAGUCUAAUUCUAGCAUCUAAUAUUUUCUAAAGCUGUCACAACUUGUGACACGAUACGAUAAGAUUGAUAUUGGAUGGCAUAUCUUUCACCAAUCCUCUCGCAUAGACAGCAAUUAAAAGAAUUUGGAACUAGAUCGGGCCAUGCUACUGCUUUGUCUAAAUUGCCUCAUAAUUAUUAGUCUCCUAUUUUUCUUAAUUGUCUAAAACUCAAAAUAUAUAAAUUAAAUUGCAGACAUAAACAGGAGAUCAUCUUUAGUUAGAUUUUCUAGCUAAGCAGAGCAUAAUGCCCUUCGUAUGUAAGAUUAAGUUUCCAAACCGAAAACAAACGGUUUUCCAGGUGCAAGAAUCAAAUUCUAUUUCAGGACAAGAAAUUAUGUGAGAUUGAAGCCUUUCACUCUAAUGGAUUUCUCGACCAAGUCAUGCAAGCAAGAAUACUUGUUCAACAUACAGUUUAUAGAUUCCAACCACAAGCAACAGAUUGGAAUGUUAUUGGUUUGCGUUAUGAUUCAAAUUUUGAUGAGCCAUGGUAGGUGAAUGGAUCAAAUAGCCAUUGCAAGUCAGAUAGAAAUCUGAUAAUGAAUAUUUAAAUGUUAGAACUUGCAUGCAAAAAGCCUGUGCCACUCGGAUGUCUCCCUACGUUUUAGAUAUUAUAAUACAUUUAGAAUUAGGUGUUAUAAGCAUAAUUUUUGAACUUUUUUAUUUAAUUGUAGGGCCAAUAGAUCCAGAAAACACGCAACUGUGAAAUAAGCUACCAAAAUUUCAGGGGUCAAACACAUAAUAGUUGCAGAAUUUCGUUAGGAAGAACGUGCAAUUUGAGCAUGGCUUGGCAUAAUCCGUUAAAUGCGGUCAAAUAUCUAGUGCAGUUUACCGACAACUCAAUGCAAUUGGCCAUGGUUUUGCAUGGGUGGCUUAAUUAGAUGCGGUCCAACACACUUUAAAUGUUAUUUCAAACAGACAUGAAAACUUGCAAGCUUGCUCUGUCACUUCACGGAUAUUAAAGAAACGUGAACAACAACAUCUAUAACAUUGGGAACUCUUCUGAGCCCCAGCUAACCAUGCAUGAAUCCUGUCAUCAAUAUACCCUUCCCUUAAUGACCACGUCCUUCCACCAAAUUCAUUCUUACUAGGUAUCGUAAGAAGAUAAAUAAAAGACACUAUACAUUUUUCGAAUCUAUAACAAACGUAUUAAUUGAAGAAACUAUAAUCACCAUCAAACAAUCACACCAAAGCCACAGCCACCACCCAUCCAGACUUCCUAUUUCUUUGUCACGUGUUCUAAUAUCAGAGCAGACCACCCAACCUUUGUAAUUUUCCAGCGAAGUCAUACUAGACCCACAAACUCUAUCUCGAUCAUAAUCAGAUAAAUUAACUAUUUCUUCCAACCGCUGCCCAAAUCCUCACCGUGAGUUCAAACAUCCAAUUAACCUUUUUGCCCCCCCACAUCCCAUGCACCCAACAGGUCACCAAAACUGGCUAAAGGCAUUUAGCAUUGCUUAAAAAAAGUAUUAUUACAUUAAAGCAAAAAUGAAUUUCUCAAAAAAAUAAAUAUUUGGUAACAAUACAUGAAAAAUUCUUCUACAAGAAGAGAAGUCACAAACCUAGCCCCCCUCCUCUCUCUCUCUCUCUGAAACAGAAGCAACACCAUACUUUUAAACUAGCUCCAAAAGUCUUACUAGAUAAUUAAUAAUGCAAAAACAAUACAGGUCCAAUCUCCUCCCUGCUGUUUGAUCUUAACAAUCCACGAAGUCGGCCAAGUUGCAGAAUAAUUGCCUACAACCGGUCCCGCUCCUACCAAAUAACUGCAGAUUGUAGUUGACUUUGAUAAGCAAGUGGGCAUAACCCGUUGAAUAUAUGGAGUACGCUAGAGAUCAGAAUAAGCUAGCUAAUCAGUAUUAAAAGACUCUCCUCCUCAUUUGUUUAAUGGACAUCUAGCAUCAUAGGAGAUUGUAAGUAUGACCUCCACCAUCCGUUGCUGGGCCUUCCAGAUUGUUUGCAGCCGUAUGUCUUGGACAUUUGGUGACGUAGUCCAUGAAGAACAUGCCAAAGCAUUGUUAAGCGGAAUACGGCGUCAGAAGUAACCAACUGAAUGUGAUUGGGCUGAUGUUGAUGGUCCAAUAUACAAUGGAUCAGGGGCCAGCAAUGCACGGACGCUCCAAAUAAAUUAGUAGAAAUUGUUUGUGCACCCUCCGAACAUAUAGCGCACCACUUCAUCUUAUUGAACCAUGCAACCGUCACUUUUCAAUGCAUAUUUAAUAUCUAUAAUUUUAUUUUUUAUUUAAAAUAUUUAAUAUUAAAAAUAUUUUUUAAAAAAUUAUGACACCUCUUUUUAAAAAUUAUGGCAUCCCUUCACAAAAUUAUAACAUCCCUUUUUUUCAAAAAAAUUAUGACACUUUUCACAGAAUUAUAAUAUCUAUUCAAAAAAAUUAUGACACCACUCCUUCACAGAAUUAUCAUAAUUUUAUAAAAAUAUCAUAAUUUUUUAAAAAUAUAUCAUAAUUUUUAUGAAAAAAUAUCAUAAUUUUUUAAAAAAUAUAUCAUAAUUUUUAUGAAAAAAAUAUCAUAAUUUUUAAAAAAAUUAUCAUAAUUUUUUAAAAAAUAUUUUAUUCAUUCAAAAUUUCAAAUAAAAAAAUAAAAUUAUAGAUAUUAAAUAUAUAUUAAAAAAUGAUAACUACGCGAUUUAAUAGAAUGAAAUAAUGUGCUCCACGUUAAAUUUUUUAUACUACGAAUGAUGCAAAAAAAAAUUAUAAAUAAAUAAAUAUCAAAAAUUUAGAAAUAUAAAGUACAAACAGCAGCAAGCCAUACUACGAAGGCAUGAGUUGCCAUGCAGAGCCCGUUAUUAAAAGCAUGAGCUAAAUAAAAUUGUAAAUUUGGAAUACAUGAUACGAACAAGACAUAUAAACCACAAGCUAGAAACAAAAUGGUUUAGAGUUUCUUGCAGCCUUGAGUCACCUUACGUUGGUUUAAAACAUCCUGAUCGAAACAGCCAUUAUAAUUUCACCGUAUCUGAACAAUUGACCGAAAAAUCUUUAUUUGCAUUUACGACCGCUGGCGUUUGGCUUGAUUUGGAUGUUACCACCGAAAUAAAAACAAGUUCCAGAAACCAAGUUACAGACUAACUCUGGAUUCCUUCUUAGAUACAAGUAUGAACAUGAAUGGGUUGGUACCAGACAGGAAAAGUAAUGAACUAUGGUGGGAAAUCCAGCAAUUUGGCUGUUACCUAAGCGGCCAUGGACAGAAACCAUUCAGGCCACAUACACGGUCACAACCAUGAAAAGGUUGCCAACAAAGAUAUACAAGGAAAACUCGAGUUUAAAUUGCACACUUCGCGAUAGUGCUUGUUUUCUUUUCUUUCGUUUUUUCAGAUGUAGAUUAUCCCUUGUUUUCUUGUGCACAGUGCACAGUGCACAAAAUGAACAUUAUCUUUGAUCACUACCAAGACAAUUCAUUUGUCUGAUCUUCUAUUCUAGCAUUCCCAUGACUACGUCUUGGAGUAACGAAGAAUCCAUGAAACUUCAAGCAUGUGAAGGGGCAGAUCCUCAAAGCCAUGAACAGCACCUAAAUAAAAUGGUCCUUCCUUCCGGGUAUUCUUUCCGAUGCCUGCAGGAAUCUGCAACAGCAACUUACAGCUGCACGGUUGAGGAGAUGUGCAGGAAUUCCCUGAAAUCUCAAGUCACAAAAGAAUGACAGCAUGCAUUUAGAGUCAACUACUUGGAAGCCUUCCACAUAUUCUGGGCCUCUAUUCAAGGGCGCCCAACAGGCAGUCCACUAGAACAGAAUGGUAUCGAAGCAUUGUUCCACCAACACGGAGUCAUGUGUUAGGCAGAAAAUUUGCGUAUUGACAUAUUAUUUUGAAAGAUUCCAAUUUAAUAAAUCUGUUAUCAUAAAAGCUUCAAUACUCAACCAUUGUUUUCUAUGUCAAUUGCUUUAAAAUUAAAAAGAAAAUGCAAACAACUGCCAGAAUAAAUAAUAGAUAUAGAAAAAAUGAAAAAUCCAACAAAAAAAUAAUAAUAUAAUGGAUUGAUAACCCCUCCAACAUUCAAUCUUGUGGUUUAAAUAGAACCAGACACUACCAUAAUGUCAAAGUAGUAAAAACAUGUAGACUGAGUACAUGCAGAAACAUGGAUGAGAAACAUUAAUGAUCAUUAAGGUAUACAAUAAGAAAGGUUGGAAACCAUCACAGAAGCAGAUAAAAACCCUCCCAACAGACAAAACGCUUUGUUAUUUAGGGAAGACACAUGCAAUCGCUCCCAACGCUCUUAGCAGAAAGUUCUCUAGUUUUUGAAAAAUGAUUAACAGUACUUGGGAAAUCUUGGACAGAAAUCAUUCUUCCUGUUUGUCACAUCUGAGAAUAAUAAAAUUUUGAACCCGGCAACAUCAUCUAAUUGAUCCAAAUUGACAGAUGUCUCCAAUGACUGUUGUCCACGAUCACUUAAUAGAACACGAUAUAAAAGGCUCUUCCGCUACUUCCCAUGCCACUGUAACAGAAAACAGAAUCAGCCUUAUCCAUUGCAAUAAAAUCAGCAAUUUAUUCCCCAGGAAUUGUUAAUACAACUAAAGAAAAAAGAUUUACAGUUGGUCUAAAUAAAGAAUGCUAUUCCUCUCGGAGUCUUUGGUUUGUAAAAUAAAGGGGUUCAGUAAACCAACAUGCAUGACCAACUGGCCACCUAAUUGAUAGCUACCCAGCUGUGUUGAUGGUCCACCUGAUCUGAAACCAAUUAAUACCCAGCCUAUCAACCAAACAGGAAGAAAUCAGUUUUUAUUUGAUGGGAAUUGCAUCAUACAAUUUGGAGGUUAUUAUGCUGCCUGCAAUGGUCCAUGACUGACUAGGAAGUUGGAGCACCAAAUGGAUAUGCUUCAUUCACUUCAAGGACAAAAGAAACCAUACUUACGGUCUAUCAUGCAAUUACAGUUUAAGUUCAUUGCCUUAUUUACGUCCCAGCAGACAACUUAAUUGUUCACUUGAGCACUACAGCAUAUCACAUUAUGCGAGCACUUACAGUUUAAAUUAGGAUACAAGCAUAAAUAAGCAGCAGCUUAUUCACUUGUUUUAUAUCACAUAGACUGAAAACACGUAUUGUUCUCAAUGAAUCCAUGAGUUUACCGCUGCAGGUAACAACUACAAAGUUCCAAGCAGAUGAGUGAUGACUAGUUCUCCAGUAAACCUAUCAUGCCCAUAAUUUAGCAGAGGAUUCAGUAAUCAAUCAACAAAUACUUAGCUUAUUGUUUGAUCUACAAGACCAAUAAACUUGUGUUAUUAGGGAGUAGCCAGGGCUCUUUGUAUCUUUUUCUAUAGGGUUUUCCUGUGUGACUGGUACUCCCCAGCUCCUUAAUCCCACCCCAAGAAACAAAGCUACAUAACAUGAUCCUAAAUGGUUGCUUAAUCUCAAACACGUAAUAGUAUUUACACAGGUAGUUCAAAUUAAACCUAGCAUCAUUCAAUUUUGCAAUGUCUGCCUGAAACUAGACAAUUAGAUCUCUGAUUACAGAGCAUAUUAACCACUAAGAAAGUUUCAUCUCAAUUGUCAUGACAAAUCUUUCAUCUGUGAGAAUUUCCAUGAUGCAUCCUUUCAACCCAACUCAAGAUUUUUUCUGUAAAAACCACCACCAUCUUCCACCAUGGCAAUAGGGAACUAGGGGAUGACAGAUUGCAUUAUAAAAACAGUCUAAACAGUGAACCAAAAGGGUAUAACAUAAAACAGCUUAAAACAAGCAAAUCACAAAAAUUCAACAAUUCUGAGUAAAUUUAACAAUUUCAACAUGAGCACAAAAACAGGUAUGAUAAAGUCACAUAUCCAGACAGGAAUAGUAUAUGUUUUCCUUUUUGGGUAAUAAAAAGUAGACAGCAAAUAGUCAAGGGGAUACAUGGUUACAGAACAUGGUGCCCUUCACUGCAAAAUCAUCUGUCAUUAAUAAUGACUGCUUCAAGUACCUCUUUAAAAAAAUAAAAUAAAAUAAAAUAAACUAAUGCACUGCUUCAAAAUUUCAACAGAAAACUUUGGCAUCGAUUUGGACAAAAGCAAGCUGUUAGCAUGCAUUGUUUGGGUCCUUGAAAGAUUAUGUGUAGUCAUACUUUAAUGAAGACAAAAAACUCAACUUCAAAGAAUUAACAAUCUGUAGCAAAACAAAAUUAAUAAUUAUCAAGCUGCAAAGUGAAACUCAGUUGCAGUAACCUCAGCUGUGAUUAAGACACAUUCAUAAUUAAGAUCCACAAUGUCAUGAUUACAACAUCAACCAUAGAAAGAACUGUUAAUUAGCUUAUCAGAAACAAGCAAGGGCUACAAUGCCGCUCAACAAUUCAGUCUAAAAUAGUAUACACUUAAAUAAAAGGCUACAAAAGUCAGGAGCAAUGUGAACAAUAAAUAUUCAUUUAAAGCUUUGAACUAUCCAUUAAAAAGGAUAUAGACAGUGAUAGGGACAAUGGUAUGGGUAAAGUUUGUGCCAAAAAAACCGUUCUUCAAGCCUCAAAAGAGGAACAUAGUUGAAAUGAAUUUGAAAAAAGAACACAACUACAAACUAAGCAAAGCAUGGAGUUAAAUAUAUUUCAUGGAAAACCAACAAUUGACAUGAAGAGGUUGAAUUAUAAAGCAGACAAUAAAAUAAAACAUAAUCUUACAAGAUAACAUUUAGAAAGGCUAAUGCACUCUCCCAAGUUGUUUUCACAUGAAAUUUUAUACAUAAACCGAAAGCAAUUAUAUCAGCAAAAAGCAACCAUUUAGUGAAAAAUAAGCAAAUAGAAUAAAUGAAAGCAAACAAAUAUACGAAAACUGAUACUUUGUCACGCUUAUCAUGUUCCCUACAAACAUAUGAUUUAAAAGACAAAAAAGAUGGAAUAUUACUAGUGCCUUUUAGCCACUCAAUUUCAACUUUAGGGAAGGUUUGGAAAAAUUUAACGGAAGCUCUUUUACUCUGACAUAAAUCCCUGCUUAAUAAACAUUUACCAAAAAAGGUUGAGAUAAUUGUGUGGCAUUUACAAAUAGCAUCCAGACAAGCACUACAAUAUGCUGCAAUGGUAUCCAUGCAACUGAUCUGAGUUACAGGAAAAGAAAUAAUGAAUCAAAACCAAUAACAGCCCCACACCACCCCCCCCCCCCCGGCCUCCUUUACAUUUACCAUCAUGCUUGUUAGCUGGUUCUUAGAAAUGCAAGUCUUGGUGUCAAAUGACCAAAUACAAAAAUCCAGAAAGCAAAGCUGUAAGCAUUGCUAUAUGCAGAAACAGUUAAGACCCAAACAAGAGAAAUAAAAGCACUGUAAACAAAAGGUUUAAGCAUCAUUACAAUGCAUUUCCAACUAUGCACUUCAUAUAGUUAAGCCCUCAGAUCUCAUAGCUCUAUAAAUUCACCGCGGCUCAAAUAAUGGUAUUUCACUUUGAGCAUUUCAUGUGCAAACAGAAGGAUGUCGUAAAAGAAGAAGAAGAAGAAGAAGAGAAGAGAAAAGAUGGGUCAUGACAAAUAGUAAAAGCAGCAGCAGCAGCAGCAGCAGCAGAGGAGUUGGUGGUGCUGUGGUGGUAUAGCAAGGGCACAGUAAUGCUCAAAAGAAUAGCCAUACAGCCACUCCAUAAACAUGUUUCCAUCAUUGGGCAUCAUCAAAGUUCAAGACACAACAAGAAUCCAACCAAAUAAUCACCAGGAAAACAUCCAGAAAGGCAUUUCUACUUAUCAGUUUAACAUCUAACUCAUAAAAAAAGGGCAUUGUAAUGCUUUGCAAGUUUCAAUAAUGCAAAAAUCCAACGUCUCAAAGAAUCCGCACUUCUGAUUCAAGAACUGAAAUCGAGAUAUAGUGCCAAAAUGUUUAGACAGUGAGAAAGCGUCAAAUACGCGACAUGAACAGCCUUCCGUAUCCGAAAUCUCCAUAAGAAAUCCCAUCUUUUUCUUUUUCUAAAAAAAUGUCAACAAAUCCAAAAAAUUUUACCAAUUGCCCUUUAUUUUUUUAAGGCGGAGAAAACAAUUAAAAAAUCUAAAUAAUAAGUUUCACGAGAGGAGCCCUCAGAUCUCAUAGCUUUCAGCAUUCAUCGACGGCUUAAUGGCUGAUUUUUCAUAGUGAGCAUCUUUGACAUGCAUAGAAGAAGAAGAUGAUGANNNNNNNNNNNNNNNNNNNNCGACGACGGUGAUGGUAAUGAUGAUGAUGACGAUGAUGAUGGCGGCUGCAGUGGGAAUGGUGAUAAGAUUAAAGCACGCACAGAUGCUCAAAAUGAAAGACCAAGAAGCCGCUCCAAAAUCCACAAGGUUUCCAUCAUCGGGCAUUACAUAAACACGACUAACAUCUUUAGCAACAGAAAGAUAAAAUUAAAAUUUAACAAAAAGGUGAAUAGAGUACGCUGGUAUCCACUCCGACGAUCCACAGACUUCUUAUUCAAGGAAAAUCCCCAACAAUAAAUACGUCAAUAAAUCAAACAUAUUUUCUAUUGCAAUACAAAAGCGAUAUCUGGGGAAAAAACUAUGCGAGAACUAGAGAAUUUUUGUUAAAAAAAAAUAGAAAAAACAUUAGGACCAGAGAGAGGGCGAGGAAGGACUUUGGAACCCUAGCGGCAGCGAGACGCAACCAGGCCAGGGCAUUGGAAAACGAAGGGGUUCGCUUACAUAUAGGGGAUUGAUCUUCUAAUUGCCCACUAGAAUUUGCAUUAAUAUCGAAACUGCCAUCAUAGAUUAUUUCUGUUCCUCUAUUUGAUUUGUUGUUAUAUAUUAUCUGUUUCGUAUUUUCCAAAUUUUAAUGUUAAUAUGAAAAUAUAUUGAUUUC